This 73-nucleotide transfer RNA is filed under the name Vicugna pacos (alpaca). Its description in RNAcentral is "tRNA-Ala (AGC) (tRNA-Ala-AGC-368-1)". It matches the Rfam family "tRNA". Rfam says of the family: Transfer RNA (tRNA) molecules are approximately 80 nucleotides in length. Their secondary structure includes four short double-helical elements and three loops (D, anti-codon, and T loops). Lineage: Eukaryota; Metazoa; Chordata; Mammalia; Artiodactyla; Camelidae. The record is from RNAcentral.
GGUGGGUAUAGCUCAGUGGUAGAGCAUGUGCUUAGCAUGCACAAGGUCCUGGGUUCAAUUCCCAGUACCUUCA